AGGUCUUGAAAGGGAGGCCACCCGCCCACCCCUCCACCCGUUCCGCGGCCGGGCUUUAUCCGGCUCUUGGUGUCAUUGGCCCGCGUAAACCAGAGCGCCGACGAUUUCUCCCAGAGCGUGGCUGGGGGGUGUUGAAUUGUUAGCUUACCUCCCUCCCACGCGGGAACGUAUUGCUUUCCUUCAAAGGCAUCCUUCAUUAGGCUCUUUGGCAACGUGUGUGUUUAAAAUGGAAUCAUUUGAAUGCAUUAAAAGCCAAACGAACCAGGGACGAGAACAGGAGGAGUUUAACUUCGGCACAAGUUGCCGAGAAUGGCAAACCGGCUGCCCCUCCACCCCCAAGCAAGCGGACUGACACCCGGAGCUGGGAAGGAGAUCUCCCGGGGGCAAAGCUGGGACCGAUUCGGGGCAGAGGCCUUACCUUCCGGCUCCUGAAAUGGAAACGGGCCUUGCUGCCUCUGUGCCAUUUAAAGGGCCCGGAGAGGACCCCCCCCACCCCCACCCCCAGGGUAGGACCAGCGUCUUCUUGAGAGAAGGGAGGCUGUUCUGGAAAGGCCAGAGCCCGGGGGGGGGGCGCCAGAAGGAAGGUCAAGGCCAAAGGGACAUCCCUCCCCAGCUUGGGCCCUGACUCCUCGCUGAGGGACGCCUGGCCUCAGGACAACCCGGUUCGGAUGUUCAGGUCUUGGGCAGAGGCUGCCUUGGGAGGGGGCUAGAUGGGCCUGUGGAAGAAGUGGAAGGCCCUUCCUUCAGCGUCCCCGUUGAGUUCUUGCUUAGAUUGCUUUUAGAAGGACCCGAAGACUCAGCUCUCCAAACUGGCUCUUUUGAGGUUUACUGGCUUUAAUAGUUCAGUUUGUUUUGAGGGUUGCUCACUGCCUCUUAGUGGAAAGUUAUGAUUAACAUGCAUUAAAACUAGGUUUUUAGAACAUCAGGGACCUGUAUUUUCCCCUUUCUAGAUCAGAGGAGCCCUCUGUUCUCCCCCCCUUUGCCCCCCCCCCGUAUCACCUGGGACCCUCUGAGCGCCCAAAGAGAGGCUGGGAGGAAAAGCGGCUCUCUGGAGGGGGCCUCCUCUGCCCAAGAGGGCUAAUUUGGAUCAACCCUCUGGUCCUGCAGGGCGCCCCGGAUGGAGGCUUCCCUGGCUACCUCACCAGCACCCAGGACAAGAUCCGGAGCGGUGGCAGAUCAACACCUGCUGUCCAUGGCCACUCAGCGCCCUUCGAGUACGGCAGCAGCAUCCGGCGGGCAGAAAGCAGGGUCAAGCUCAACUCUGCCAACUUCACUGCCUCCCAAGGGCCAGGUCUGGACACAGACUUUGGAGCUAGCGCCGGUGUCUCGGUGAGAAUCUUGUCCUCCGACAGCGAGGAAAGCCCCCAAACCCCCCUGUUGCAUCGCCAGCGGUCGGGACGACUGGAGUGGGACUACUAUGACCCCAGCUACCAGACAGCAGCUCCGCUCCACCAUCAGCUGCCCCCCAUCGGCAGCAAACAAUACUGGCUGUAGCACAAGGGCAGCCACGGUCUGAGGGGUGGUGGCGAGAG
Molecule: long non-coding RNA, 1532 nt
Filed under: Pogona vitticeps (central bearded dragon)
Lineage: Eukaryota; Metazoa; Chordata; Lepidosauria; Squamata; Agamidae
Description: lncRNA (ENSPVIG00000016333.1)
Source: RNAcentral